AGAAAUGAAGUACUAAAAGACAAGAACAAGAAAAGUCAAAGAAAGCAAUUCCUAAUUGCUCCUGACAUGCGCCGGAGAAGUCUUACUAAAAGCAUCCAAAAGAAACAUCAAAAGCUAAGCCUCCAGAGUAGUGCUAAUCCCCUGCAAUUUCUCGUUUUUAUCUAAUAAGUUUCCAGAUGUGCGGCGGCUCCCCAUUCGAAAGGAAGACUUCGGCCAAAUUACCCAAAAAGGGCUCGCGUCUCUUUUGUUCCCAAAAUGCCCCUGAAUGCCUUCUAUUUGUAUUCU
This 285-nucleotide long non-coding RNA is filed under the name Coffea arabica (coffee). Its description in RNAcentral is "long non-coding RNA (CARA_LNC005646)". Lineage: Eukaryota; Viridiplantae; Streptophyta; Magnoliopsida; Gentianales; Rubiaceae. The record is from RNAcentral.